This 635-nucleotide ribosomal RNA is filed under the name Pseudoxanthomonas sp. Its description in RNAcentral is "bacterial SSU rRNA". It matches the Rfam family "Bacterial small subunit ribosomal RNA", at positions 48 to 674 of the family's 1533-position model. The record is from RNAcentral. Lineage: Bacteria; Pseudomonadati; Pseudomonadota; Gammaproteobacteria; Lysobacterales; Lysobacteraceae.
CUAACACAUGCAGUCGACGGCAGCACAGGAGAGCUUGCUCUCUGGGUGGCGAGUGGCGGACGGGUGAGGAAUACAUCGGAAUCUACCUUUUCGUGGGGGAUAACGUAGGGAAACUUACGCUAAUACCGCAUACGACCUACGGGUGAAAGUGGGGGACCGCAAGGCCUCACGCGAUUAGAUGAGCCGAUGUCCGAUUAGCUAGUUGGCGGGGUAAUGGCCCACCAAGGCGACGAUCGGUAGCUGGUCUGAGAGGAUGAUCAGCCACACUGGAACUGAGACACGGUCCAGACUCCUACGGGAGGCAGCAGUGGGGAAUAUUGGACAAUGGGCGCAAGCCUGAUCCAGCCAUACCGCGUGGGUGAAGAAGGCCUUCGGGUUGUAAAGCCCUUUUGUUGGGAAAGAAAUCCUGUCGAUUAAUACUCGGUGGGGAUGACGGUACCCAAAGAAUAAGCACCGGCUAACUUCGUGCCAGCAGCCGCGGUAAUACGAAGGGUGCAAGCGUUACUCGGAAUUACUGGGCGUAAAGCGUGCGUAGGUGGUGGUUUAAGUCUGCUGUGAAAGCCCUGGGCUCAACCUGGGAAUUGCAGUGGAUACUGGAUCACUAGAGUGUGGUAGAGGGAUGCUAAAUUUCUGGU